This 791-nucleotide ribosomal RNA is filed under the name Microbacterium maritypicum. RNAcentral describes it as "bacterial SSU rRNA". It matches the Rfam family "Bacterial small subunit ribosomal RNA", at positions 82 to 885 of the family's 1533-position model. Lineage: Bacteria; Bacillati; Actinomycetota; Actinomycetes; Micrococcales; Microbacteriaceae. The record is from RNAcentral.
CUCUGUGGGAUCAGUGGCGAACGGGUGAGUAACACGUGAGCAACCUGCCCCUGACUCUGGGAUAAGCGCUGGAAACGGCGUCUAAUACUGGAUAUGUGACGUGAUCGCAUGGUCUGCGUCUGGAAAGAAUUUCGGUUGGGGAUGGGCUCGCGGCCUAUCAGCUUGUUGGUGAGGUAAUGGCUCACCAAGGCGUCGACGGGUAGCCGGCCUGAGAGGGUGACCGGCCACACUGGGACUGAGACACGGCCCAGACUCCUACGGGAGGCAGCAGUGGGGAAUAUUGCACAAUGGGCGCAAGCCUGAUGCAGCAACGCCGCGUGAGGGAUGACGGCCUUCGGGUUGUAAACCUCUUUUAGCAGGGAAGAAGCGAAAGUGACGGUACCUGCAGAAAAAGCGCCGGCUAACUACGUGCCAGCAGCCGCGGUAAUACGUAGGGCGCAAGCGUUAUCCGGAAUUAUUGGGCGUAAAGAGCUCGUAGGCGGUUUGUCGCGUCUGCUGUGAAAUCCGGAGGCUCAACCUCCGGCCUGCAGUGGGUACGGGCAGACUAGAGUGCGGUAGGGGAGAUUGGAAUUCCUGGUGUAGCGGUGGAAUGCGCAGAUAUCAGGAGGAACACCGAUGGCGAAGGCAGAUCUCUGGGCCGUAACUGACGCUGAGGAGCGAAAGGGUGGGGAGCAAACAGGCUUAGAUACCCUGGUAGUCCACCCCGUAAACGUUGGGAACUAGUUGUGGGGUCCAUUCCACGGAUUCCGUGACGCAGCUAACGCAUUAAGUUCCCCGCCUGGGGAGUACGG